RNAcentral lists this ribosomal RNA (781 nucleotides) under uncultured bacterium. RNAcentral's name for it is "bacterial SSU rRNA". It matches the Rfam family "Bacterial small subunit ribosomal RNA", at positions 28 to 809 of the family's 1533-position model. The record is from RNAcentral.
GAGGAUUUCUGGCGGCGUGCCUAACACAUGCAAGUCGAGCGAGAAGCUGAUGAUUGACUCUUCGGAGGAGAGAAUCAGUGGAAAGCGGCGGACGGGUGAGUAACGCGUAGGCAACCUGCCCUUUGCAGAGGGAUAGCCUCGGGAAACCGGGAUUAAAACCUCAUGAUGCUGUAUGUCCGCAUGGGCAGACGGUCAAAUAUUUAUCGGCAGAGGAUGGGCCUGCGUCUGAUUAGUUAGUUGGUGGGGUAACGGCCUACCAAGGCAACGAUCAGUAGCCGACCUGAGAGGGUGAUCGGCCACAUUGGAACUGAGACACGGUCCAAACUCCUACGGGAGGCAGCAGUGGGGAAUAUUGCACAAUGGGGGAAACCCUGAUGCAGCAACGCCGCGUGAGCGAAGAAGGCCUUUGGGUCGUAAAGCUCUGUCCUUGGGGAAGAAAAAAUGACGGUACCCAAGGAGGAAGCCCCGGCUAACUACGUGCCAGCAGCCGCGGUAAUACGUAGGGGGCAAGCGUUAUCCGGAAUUAUUGGGCGUAAAGAGUAUGUAGGUGGUUUCUUAAGCGCAGGGUAUAAGGCAAUGGCUUAACCAUUGUUCGCCCCGUGAACUGAGAGACUUGAGUGCUGGAGAGGAAAGCGGAAUUCCUAGUGUAGCGGUGAAAUGCGUAGAUAUUAGGAGGAACACCAGUGGCGAAGGCGGCUUUCUGGACAGUAACUGACACUGAGAUACGAAAGCGUGGGGAGCAAACAGGAUUAGAUACCCUGGUAGUCCACGCCGUAAACGA